Molecule: unclassified non-coding RNA, 344 nt
Filed under: soil metagenome
Description: partial contains 5.8S ribosomal RNA, internal transcribed spacer 2, and large subunit ribosomal RNA
Rfam family: 5.8S ribosomal RNA (bases 1-120)
Source: RNAcentral
GAUGAAGAACGUAGCGAAAUGCGAUAAGUAAUGUGAAUUGCAGAAUUCAGUGAGUCAUCGAAUCUUUGAACGCACAUUGCGCCCACUGGUAUUCCGGUGGGCAUGCCUGUUCGAGCGUCAUUAUCCUCCCUCAAACCCCGGGUUUGGUGUUGGACCCAAGUUGUGUGAACAACUGGUCUCAAAGACAAUGACGGCGUCCGUGGGACCCUCGGUGCAACGAGCUUUUAGGAGCACGCAUCGAGUUGCAAGGACCUUCCGGGCCGGUCUCCUUUACCAUUUUACAAGGUUGACCUCGCAUCAGGUAGGAAUACCCGCUGAACUUAAGCAUAUCAAUAAGCGGAGGA